CGGAACCUCCGGUCGGGGCGCGUUCCCGGCACGCCCCGGCCACGAAAGGGCUCCGGCACAUGCCGGAGCCCUUUUUCGUGA
This 81-nucleotide small RNA is filed under the name Afipia carboxidovorans OM5. Its description in RNAcentral is "Oligotropha carboxidovorans OM5 Bradyrhizobiaceae sRNA BjrC68". It matches the Rfam family "Bradyrhizobiaceae sRNA BjrC68". The record is from Rfam by way of RNAcentral. Lineage: Bacteria; Pseudomonadati; Pseudomonadota; Alphaproteobacteria; Hyphomicrobiales; Nitrobacteraceae.